CCUACGGGAGGCAGCAGUGGGGAAUCUUGGUCAAUGGACGAAAGUCUGACCCAGCAAAGUAGCGUGAAUGAUGACUGACCUAGGUGUUUUAAACUUCUUUUAUAUUGGAGUAAAAUGUUCCACGUGUCUAAUUUUGUAUGUACCAUAUUACACAGGAUCGGCUAACUCCAUUCCAGCAGCCUCGGUAAUACGGAGGGUCCGAGCGUUAGACGGAUUUAUGUGGUUUAAAGUGAGCGUAGGGGGAUGCUUAAGUCAGUUGUGAAAGUUUGCGGCUCAACCGUAAAAGUGCAUGUGAAACUGGCAGCAUUGAGUGCAGGAGAGGUGGGCGGAAUUCGUGGUGUAGCGGUGAAAUGCGUAGAUAUCACGAAGAACACCGAUGGCGAAGGCAGUUAACUGGACUGUAACUGACGCUGAGGCUCGAAAGCGUGGGUAGCAAACAGGAUUAGAUACCCGAGUAGUC
This 460-nucleotide ribosomal RNA is filed under the name uncultured bacterium. RNAcentral describes it as "partial 16S ribosomal RNA". It matches the Rfam family "Bacterial small subunit ribosomal RNA", at positions 338 to 795 of the family's 1533-position model. The record is from RNAcentral.